RNAcentral lists this ribosomal RNA (346 nucleotides) under uncultured bacterium. Its description in RNAcentral is "partial 16S ribosomal RNA". It matches the Rfam family "Bacterial small subunit ribosomal RNA", at positions 338 to 681 of the family's 1533-position model. The record is from RNAcentral.
CCUACGGGUGGCAGCAGUGAGGAAUAUUGGUAAAUGGGCGUAAGCCUGAACCAGCCAAGUCGCGUGAGGGAUGAAGGUUCGAUGGAUCGUAAACCUCUUUUAUAAGGGAAGAAAGUGGGGGACGUGUCCGGUUUUGGAUGUACCUUAUGAAUAAGGAUCGGCUAACUCCGGGCCAGCAGCCGCGGUAAUACGGAGGAUCCGAGCGUUAUCCGGAUUUAUGGGGGUUAAAGGGUGCGUAGGAGGCCUUUUAAGUCAGCGGUGCAAGUCUGUGGCUCAACCAUAGAAGUGCCGUUGAAACUGGGAGGCUUGAGUAUGUUUGAGGCAGGCGGCAUGCGUGGUGUAGCGG